GACGAACGCUGGCGGCGUGCCUAAUACAUGCAAGUUGAGCGCUGAAGGUUGGUACUUGUACCGACUGGAUGAGCAGCGAACGGGUGAGUAACGCGUGGGGAAUCUGCCUUUGAGCGGGGGACAACAUUUGGAAACGAAUGCUAAUACCGCAUAAAAACUUUAAACACAAGUUUUAAGUUUGAAAGAUGCAAUUGCAUCACUCAAAGAUGAUCCCGCGUUGUAUUAGCUAGUUGGUGAGGUAAAGGCUCACCAAGGCGAUGAUACAUAGCCGACCUGGGAGGGUGAUCGGCCACAUUGGGACUGAGACACGGCCCAAACUCCUACGGGAGGCAGCAGUAGGGAAUCUUCGGCAAUGGACGAAAGUCUGACCGAGCAACGCCGCGUGAGUGAAGAAGGUUUUCGGAUCGUAAAACUCUGUUGGUAGAGAAGAACGUUGGUGAGAGUGGAAAGCUCAUCAAGUGACGGUAACUACCCAGAAAGGGACGGCUAACUACGUGCCAGCAGCCGCAGUAC
Molecule: ribosomal RNA, 513 nt
Filed under: uncultured bacterium
Lineage: Bacteria
Description: partial 16S ribosomal RNA
Rfam family: Bacterial small subunit ribosomal RNA
Source: RNAcentral